Long non-coding RNA from Salvia splendens (bonfire salvia), 1031 nucleotides. RefSeq lists it as uncharacterized. The transcript is spliced from 2 exons. NCBI's taxonomy places the organism in Eukaryota, Viridiplantae, Streptophyta, Magnoliopsida, Lamiales, Lamiaceae. The record is from RefSeq and is a predicted model, not a curated record.
CACAAGCAAAAGGCUAAGACGAUUAUUACCCUCUUCGACUACUUCCAUAUUCACCGGUGCAGCGACGCCACCCUCUAGAUCCGCCAUUCUCCUACAAGGGACACACAAAAUGGUGGAUGAGCUCAAUCUCAACUGUGAUUGGCAUAGUUUGAAUAAAGUCUUCAACUUGGACCUCCCUUUUCGCGUGGCAAUUCAAAGCUCAAUCAAUGGUUUGAUAUUGAACACUCUCGCAAUCGUAUCCUCUGCAAUCCGAAUAUAUCAAGCUUCCUUGUCCUAGACAGCCUUCCACUGCGCUUACAUUGGAGUGAGCAGAGUGAGUGGCCAAUAUAAGGUGGUUAGGAUUUCCGCAGAAGGACCGCCACAAACACCGCUGGGUACAUCUUGCGGACAAUGUCAUUCUUGUGCGGAAGUCUUCAUUGGUGGUGGAGAAGUACGGGCGCUUCAGCCCCUACAAAAAUUUCUCGCCUUGAUCUUGAAACAGAGUGUUUUAGUACCUUUUCCUGUCCUCGUGCUAUCAGUAACAAAGAAAGGCACCUAUCAAGUUUAAGGGGGGCUGCCUAUGUGUAUGCGUCAAUUCGAAUCUGGGGAUUGUUAUAUGGGUGAUGAAGGAAUACGGAGAUGAGAAAUCUUGGACAAAGGAGUUUAGCAUUCUCAAAGAUAAUACUCCUAUUUGGGAUGGUUUAAAACAGCUUAACCCCAUUGAAGUUUUCAAAAAUGGUGAUAUGCUCUUAUCAUGGAGACAGGGUAGGCCGAUAUACUACUCCAGCACGACUAAAACCAUUCAAGAAGUUGAUCUACAUGACGACAUGCUCUACCAGAUAAGCCUUUACACGCCGAGCCUUCUUUCUCUAAAGACCGAAAAUGUAAUUUCGUUUUGAUUUUGACUAUGGAUUUCUUUGAAAAAACCAACUUAUAUUAUGUAUGAAAACCUAUGUAUUGAUGCAGAUGCAGAAUGGUGUAAAAACAUUUUGAUUAUUAGUAUAUCUGUAUAUUAAGUACUUGUUUUAAUAAGAAUGCCUUUUAUUUUUGUA